This 387-nucleotide ribosomal RNA is filed under the name uncultured bacterium. Its description in RNAcentral is "bacterial SSU rRNA". It matches the Rfam family "Bacterial small subunit ribosomal RNA", at positions 28 to 417 of the family's 1533-position model. The record is from RNAcentral.
GACGAACGCUGGCGGCGUGCUUAACACAUGCAAGUCGAGCGGUAAGGCCCUUUCGGGGGUACACGAGCGGCGAACGGGUGAGUAACACGUGGGUGACCUGCCCUCAGCUCUGGGAUAAGCCUGGGAAACCGGGUCUAAUACCGGACAUGACUCCAUGACGCAUGUCGUGGGGUGGAAAGCCUUGUGCGGCUGAGGAUGGGCCCGCGGCCUAUCAGCUUGUUGGUGGGAUGAGGCCUACCAAGGCGACGACGGGUAGCCGGCCUGAGAGGGCGACCGGCCACACUGGGACUGAGACACGGCCCAGACUCCUACGGGAGGCAGCAGUGGGGAAUCUUGCGCAAUGGGCGAAAGCCUGACGCAGCGACGCCGCGUGAGGGAUGACGGCCU